Molecule: ribosomal RNA, 468 nt
Filed under: uncultured bacterium
Lineage: Bacteria
Description: partial 16S ribosomal RNA
Rfam family: Bacterial small subunit ribosomal RNA
Source: RNAcentral
GACGAACGCUGGCGGCGUGCUUAACACAUGCAAGUCGAACGGAAAGGCCCUGCUUUUGUGGGGUGCUCGAGUGGCGAACGGGUGAGUAACACGUGAGUAACCUGCCCUUGACUUUGGGAUAACUUCAGGAAACUGGGGCUAAUACCGGAUAGGAGCUCCUGCUGCAUGGUGGGGGUUGGAAAGUUUCGGCGGUUGGGGAUGGACUCGCGGCUUAUCAGCUUGUUGGUGGGGUAGUGGCUUACCAAGGCUUUGACGGGUAGCCGGCCUGAGAGGGUGACCGGCCACAUUGGGACUGAGAUACGGACCAGACGCCUACGGGAGGCAGUAGUGGGGAAUAUUGCACAAUGGGCGGAAGCCUGAUGCAGCAACGCCGCGUGCGGGAUGACGGCCUUCGGGUUGUAAACCGCUUUCGCCUGUGACGAAGCGUGAGUGACGGUAAUGGGUAAAGAAGCACCGGCUAACUACGUG